AUUUAAAACUAAAUUAUUUUAAUUGUUUAUUUAAGGCAAAACGCAUUUAAUUAAGUAUUUCCAAACAAAUUUACUAAAAAACAUCCCGAAAGGACCCACUAACAAUAUUUCUCAGAAAUGGCACACCCAUUUACCUUUUGCAUAAUGUAAUUGCAAGAAAAAACAACUUACUACUGUUUCCCGAAAAAUGGAGAGCUAUUAUUAUCACAACUUUUAGUGUAGCACUACUAAAACACAGUCAAUAAUAGCAGCAAAAUACCUGACGAACCACUUGAUAGCUGGCUGUCCCUUAAAGACAUGUUAGUGUCUUCUUACAGUAACAACAAUAUAAAUUUUCUUGUAAGAAAAACUCCAAGGGGGACAAGCUCCUUGGAGGAAUAUUAGAAAUAUAAUAAUAAUAACUGACCAAAAAGGCUUAAAAACAGCCAAAAUUAUCCGUUAUAGGAAAUGUACGUAUAAAACCAAUAUUAAAUAUAAAUUCUACUAUUAAAGGAACCUAAAAACCCAACCAACUUUUUUGUGAACCGGCAACUAUUAGUAUCUUCAAGCAUUUUAUGAUAAAGGUUUUGUUUUAAAAAAACUACCUCCCACAAUAUUUUAGCUUAAAAAAACAUUGGUAAUGAACUCGGCAAAUAUUUUUUCUGCCUGUUUAUCAAAAACAUCGUCUUUUGCCAAACAUCUAUAAAAGAUACUGCCUGCCCUAUGAUUUAUAUUAAAUGGCCGCGUUAGCGUGAGCGUGCUAAGGUAGCGUAAUAAACAGCUCCCUAAUUAGGAGCCAGUGAAUGGCCACACAGAGAAAAACUUUAUUACCAAUGAUAAGAAAAAUUUUCAUUUAAGUGAAAAGACUUAAAUAAAGGAAAAAGACAAAAAGACCCCGCGGAACUUCCUUAUAGUUAUACUAUACAUAACAAAACCUGUAUUUAUAUCUAACUGGUUGGUUGGGGCAACCUUGGAACAAAUAAAACCUCCAUCUAUUAAGAAAACCCAUAAAAAACUUACUAUGGACCAUAUUGCAGUUACCCCGGGGAUAACAGCGUAAUUCAACUUGAGAGUACGAAUCGAAAGUUGAGUUUGCGACCUCGAUGUUGGCUUAGGGAAAGCAUUCUGGCGCAGCAGCUAGAUCACAAUGCCAGUCUGUUCGACUGUCAAUCCCCUACACGAGCUGAGUUAAGACCGGCGAGAGCUAGGUUGGAUUCUAUCUUUUCCACUAACAGAAUUCUUCAUUGUACGAAAGGACCUAAAGAAACACACUAACAAGUGCACUUAUAAAUUACGUAAUAAAUACUUGUAAUCUACAAAAAU
Molecule: ribosomal RNA, 1302 nt
Filed under: Sinanodonta woodiana
Lineage: Eukaryota; Metazoa; Mollusca; Bivalvia; Unionida; Unionidae
Description: 16S ribosomal RNA
Rfam family: Bacterial large subunit ribosomal RNA
Source: RNAcentral